UACGUACUCUCUGUGUUCAAAAAUACUUGUCAUCAAAAUGAAUAAAAGGAGAUAUAUUUAGAUGUAUUUUAGUUCUAGAUACAUUUCUUUCUAUCAAUUUUGAGGACAAGUAUUUCCGGACGGAUGGAGUAUUUG
Triticum urartu is the source of this 135-nucleotide non-coding RNA. Lineage: Eukaryota; Viridiplantae; Streptophyta; Magnoliopsida; Poales; Poaceae. The record is from Rfam.